This 139-nucleotide small nucleolar RNA is filed under the name Dichanthelium oligosanthes. RNAcentral describes it as "Small nucleolar RNA Z247". It matches the Rfam family "Small nucleolar RNA Z247". From Rfam's summary of the family: Z247 is a member of the C/D class of snoRNA which contain the C (UGAUGA) and D (CUGA) box motifs. Lineage: Eukaryota; Viridiplantae; Streptophyta; Magnoliopsida; Poales; Poaceae. The record is from Rfam by way of RNAcentral.
AAGCUUGAAGAUGAUGAGCUGAUCUCGUACAUGCUGGGAGGACUCAACCCUAAGUAUGAGUCCCUGGUGACCAACAUCACUACACGGACUGACGUCAUGAUGAUCAGUGAUGUGUAUGCCCAUAUGCUCAGUGCUGAAC